CAAUAGGGAGGCAGAUUAGGCGGGGCUAGGAGAGAAGGAUUCUGGGAAAUGUAGGAAAGGAGAGAGUUGCCAUGUGAUCCCAGGAAGAGAGGACACAUAAGGCUGUCGCCCUCGGAAUAUCUGGACAUGUUUCCUAUCACUUCAAAAAACAAGUCCUGGAAACAUGGCGAUUCAAGCAAGUCCUGGGUCCCGCUUGUAGGUCUGCAAGUCACAAGUCCUGCUUGGGUCCAGCUGUAUUCUCUGUUUCUUAGAUUUUCAUCAGGCUGACCUCCAGGUGUCAGUCAGCUAGGGACUCCUCCCAGAGGCCACCCACAGUUUCUCCCCACAAAAUCUUCUCAAGGCCAACAGGAAAGUCUCUGCAGCUUGGUUGAAUCUCCCUUACCUCUCCAUGGUUCACUCUGGACCUCCUUUUAUGUGGUCCACCUAGUUAGAUCAGACUCAUGGAAGAUACGCAGCCUUUAACGUCCAGCUGGUUAACAGUCGCAGGCACUGAUUACUCUCGAGUAAACAAAGUAGGGUUUAAUUUAUUACCUACAACAGGCACCGUGACUGCAGGUAAUGGUGUGAAGGAGUUCUACGGGGCAGUUCAGCAGGGUGACAGAGAGGAGGUCUUGUGAAAGGGACAUCUGGGCUGAGACCAGAAAGAGGAGAAGGAAGAACAGUCUAGGUGGCAGCUAGUGUCCGAAACAAAUUCAAGAAUAGGUUGUCUUCCUAGGGAGAAUUUUUAAAAAAAUUUGUUUGUUCUAGCAUCUCUGGAUACCUGGUGUAUUCCAUGACUUCCAGAUGCAGAAGGUAGUAUCCUUGGCCGUCGACAAGGGCCCUCCAUGCCCCUCCCUUCCCUCAACUACAACUGGUAGGAUUGAUGGCACACGAAGUGUACUCUUGGAUCACUGCUAUGUUUGAGCAAUGCAUCACAACCAUUACCCAGCUGCAUGCACUAAAAUGCCUUUCCAUACAUGGGUGCGUGUUACCCUGGAAAACUGAAGGCUUUUAUUUCAAAUUGGUUUACUUUGAAGUUUUCUUUGGUGCACAUCCUACUAUGCCAUAAGAGAAGUCUAUUCCAGGUUGGGAUACUGCUCACAUUUGCAAGCAUUUCAGCACACUAAGCUGCAUUGACAGAAACUCAUGAACAUGCAAGUAGUGAAUUUUGUGUUUGUUUCCUUCCUGCCUAUCAAUGUCUUCCUUCUACUUGAUUAAUAAAUCGUUCAGCAAUACCUGAAAACCUACAUCAGGAAUGUGCUCAGCACCGUCUCACUUCCUUAUCCCUGGGAUGCUUUCAUUCAUCCAAGGCCUUUCCUCCCAUCCUCUGAACAAUCUGCUAGUUUUCCUACUAAUUUCCUGUUCAUAUUCUCUAGUUCUACAUAGCCACCAAAUCACCUUCCUGAAAACUGAAAAAAGAAACUUUUUUUUUCCUCCUGCAUGUCCUUUACAUUCCAGUGGAACAGAGUUGGCCAAGAGCAAAUAAACAAAUACCAAACUUAGAAAACCAACUACCAAACUUCCAGACAGAAGACAUGUGACAAGGAAUCAUAAAAAAAAAAAAAAAAGGAAAAGAGCCAAGAAUGGUGGCAUAAACUUUUAAUCCCAGCACUCGGGAGACAGAAGCAGGUGAAUCUCUGUGCGUUCAAGGUCAGCCUGGUCUACAGAGUGAGUUCCAGGACAGCCAGGGCAAUUAAACAGAGAAACCCUGUCUGAAAAGAAAAAACAAAAACAAAACAAGGCAGGCUAAGGACAGAGAGGGAGUGGUUUUAGAUACACUGGUGACAUGAAUGUUAUUAUCCCAGCUAAAAUCAAACCUGGUCAAAUACACUUGGGUUUAAUGUCUUGAGACACUGCAGUGACUCUUACUAGGAGAGCAUUGGGGAAGCUUCAGACUCUGGCUUGGAAGGUGAUUCUGAAAGCUAGUUAGAGGACAUCAGAAAGCAGAAGAGUCUCUGAAUGGGCAUUUUGACAUGUUCUAUGUAGAAGACAAGAACACUGUAAGUGGUCAGGACACAUGCUGUCUAGAGACGAGAACAGGGCAACACUGUCAUUGUAAAUGGCCAGAAAACAGGAGUCACUUACACUAGCUAAAAUGUUCUGCUUUGUGGUUUAGAAAACCCGAAUAUUAGAGUGUGUUAUGCCUGUCACCAUAAAGGCCAAUGGGCAGAGUUAGGAAUGAAAUGUUAAGUUGCACUUGGCUCAGAGUCAGCGAUCUGAGAGGGCAGCAGACACAUACCUUGGAAGAAAUACUGCCACAUCUCUCUGGCCAGCAGAUUACACAGGUGAAGGAUGGGGACACAGACAUUCAUUUAGGAAUCUUGUUUUGUCCCUCUUGACAGCCAGAUUUGAGCCUUGUGAUGUCGGUAUCUCUCAUUAUCACCCCUUGUGUUCUUCUCUCAUUUUAUGGGCAUCUGGCUCCAGACACUUUUUGAAAUACUCAAUUUUAUGUGUCUUGGGCAUCAACCUUGUACUCCUUCCUCUACAGGUCUCUGGGCUGGGGGCAGGGAUUAACUCAGAACAAGUCAUUAGCAGUGACUAAAAAGCUAGUAGAAGCAUGUGUGAGCAGAGUCCUUUCUACAAUAUUAGUUACAGAUGUGCCCUUGUAAUACAGAAUACAAGGUGCUUCUUUCUAUUCAUCCCUCCUGCCCACUACAAGUCUGGAGGACGCUCCUGUGUUUGACCUAUUCAGACAUGACUGUGGAGGGUUCUUUCCUUCACCUUCUCGUCACCAUGACCACAGCGGUCAUACCUGACAUUGAUGUUUGGUGACUGUUUAUGCCCAAGAGAAUAUGUGACUUAGCUGACAAUGCUAGGCCAGAUGCUGAUAGGACCAGCAAGAGAUAGCUGAAAGAGCCAGUCUCUUCUCUGUCUAUGCAGGAUUAUGGGUUUACCAGUUUUUCUUUAAUAAUCAGCUGCCAAAAUGGUCUCUAAGUAUAAUUUAUAACUCUUGCUCAUAGUUUUAUUUCUUGAAAAUUUAUCUAUACUACUCUUUAGGGUAGUGAGUUCCUACAGUUUCGGUGACUGUGUCAGUUACGUCUCCAUGGCUUUGAUAAAAACACCAUGAACGAUGCACACCCUAGAAGAGUUUAUUUGGGCUUACAGUCUCAGGAGGGUCAGAGUCCUGGAUGGCAAGGUGCAGGCAUGGCACCAAAGCUGGAAGCCAGGGGCUUAUAUGUUGAACAACAAGCUGGAAGCAGAGAGUGUAAACCGGAACUCUGCAAAGUUCUGAAAUCUCAAAGCCUGCCCCAUACCUCUUCCCUCAAGCUUCUAAGUCUGAAAUCUACCCACACAGCACCAGCUGGGGUCCAAGUAUUCAAAUGUUCGAAACUACGGGAGGCAUUUAUCAUUCAAACCACAGCAAUUCAGUGCCUCACACACCUAUUUUUAAGAGUGUCUGUAGCCUAGGCAUGCCUUCAACAGUAGCAAUUUCCUGCCUCAUCCUCCUCAGUGCUGGGAUUACAGGUGUGAACCCUGAGCUGGGGUGGAGUUAAGUGGUGAUGCCAAGCUUAGAGGAGUUUCUUUUUUAUUUUUUUGUCAAGAAGAUCUAAGUAGGUGGAGGGAGGUGGUGAGAGCAGACAGAAAAUUCCUUAACUACCCAACACAGAUAGUUAUCAUCAUAGGCAGAGUGCAACCACUAGACCAACGACAAUCUACAAUGCUGACUGGCUCAGGAAUUGCAAUAAAAUACCUACUGUAAAUUUCAGAAACUUCGAAAGCCUCAGACUCAUCUGCCCAACUCAUUUUUAAAAAUAGGAAGCUGGAGUUAGAGUACACAUGGACUCUGAUGGGUCUGCAUGAUGCCAGGACUAGCUAAAAUCAGGAAGACACUCUUGGGUUCUAACUCCACAGUGUGAUUCAACACAGUUGAGAUUCAUUCAUAUUCUAUUUUAAUUCAUGAGUAGUGUUGCACUGGAUGAAUAUUCCAACGUACUCAUUCUCCCACUGAGGGACAUCUGGGACACCCUCUAGGUUUUUGCUCUCCCACGAACAGUUGCAAUGAGCAUUUCUGCACAAGUCUCUUUGUAGACAGAGGGUUUUACUUCUCUUGGCUAACACAGCAUGUGGGGCUGAUGGGUCAAAGGGUUGGUCUGUGUUUGACAUGAAACGGACAGGGCUGUACCCUCCAACAGUUUUACAACAGCUUCUUUUGCUCAAAGAGUAGCCAAGCGGAGACAGCAAAGGAUCGGUAAGGCCUUAACUUGGCCUCUCACCAGGGAAGCUCUGGGGUCCUGGAGGACGCCCCUCCCCCAUCACCCACUAUGGCCAUGUGGGUGAUCUCUCUAGGGAAAAGGACAGCAGGCAGCGCAUUCGAUCGCAACAGUUGUCUGAAUCUCUUUGACAAAUCUUUGUCUCCCUGUUUCUUGAAAUUCCGCUUCAUUGCGCGCAAGCCCCGGAAGUGGGAUUUCUGAAUAUGAAGACUUGAAAGGGCGGUUUCUGAAAAAGAGACCAUGGCUUGCAAAAAUCUGGUGGUAUGUCUGGGUGGCGCCACGUCCCCAACCAUGUCCUUGGCAGCUCCUAAAGACACCCAGUUUUCUUGAGCCAGGUAGUGGGGUUGCAUUUAAUGGAAAGUAGAAAUUGCCAGAAACAGGAUGCACCCGCCUUCUUUCUAACCUUUAGUUUCCUUUCCGCCUCCUCCGGGGUCACAAGGAAGACAUUCCUCCUCAAGUCUCUCCUUCUCCUCUUCACUUCCACUGACCGGCCACUUUAUACUCGUUACUAUGGUUUGAAAUUUGCCAGUGCAAGAGUAUGGGUGCCACAUUGCUAAGAAGCAGGUCCUUUAAGAGGUGAUGAGGACAUUGGAGUUGUGCCCUCAGGAAAGGAGUGUCACCACAAGAGUGGGUCUCUCAUAAAAGCCACCGUCUCUUGCCCUGCCACUUAGCUGACACUACGUGAUGUCACUCCCCUUUCCAAAGCCCCCCAGAACCCAAAGCCAGAUAAACUACUGUUUAUAACCAGUCGAUAGCAUUGCUACAGCAGCAGAAGAGACUAAGGCAGCCUUCCCCACCUUCUCCCCUGUGAAAGCCAACCGCUCACUACCCUAUCAGCCCAGCAGCGGUGUAAUUUAAGAUUUCUACAGGGUCAACUUUGCCACCGAAGUCUGUCCUGUGGGCACCGCACUGACCUCCACAGAGUGGACGGACUGGGUUUCCAAGUGUCGACAGUAAGAGCGAGCUUGAAGCCCAGAAGGAGUCUGAGAAACCACCUUGCAGUGUGUGUGGGUAACUUCAUCCUGCGGCUGUGAGCAGUGAGCAACAGGUCCCUAGACGAAAGAGCAGGAGCGCUGGCGUGCCGCACCACCCUCCCGACAGACCGCACUGGCUCUCCACCGCUUCCCGAGGGGCCUCAGUUUCCCAGUCAGGGCUGAGG
This 5349-nucleotide long non-coding RNA is filed under the name Cricetulus griseus (Chinese hamster). RNAcentral's name for it is "lncRNA (ENSCGRG00015034483.1)". Lineage: Eukaryota; Metazoa; Chordata; Mammalia; Rodentia; Cricetidae. The record is from RNAcentral.